RNAcentral lists this ribosomal RNA (314 nucleotides) under uncultured eukaryote. RNAcentral's name for it is "partial 18S ribosomal RNA". It matches the Rfam family "Eukaryotic small subunit ribosomal RNA", at positions 1470 to 1796 of the family's 1831-position model. The record is from RNAcentral.
CCCUUAGAUGUUCUGGGCCGCACACGCGCUACAAUGGCAAAGUCAACGAGCUUAUCCUAUGCUGACAAGCACAGGUAAUCUUUUCAGUCUUUGUCGUGAUGGGGAUAGACCCUUGUAAUUAUUGGUCUCCAACGAGGAAUUCCUAGUAAACGCAAGUCAUCAACUUGCAUUGAUUACGUCCCUGCCCUUUGUACACACCGCCCGUCGCACCUACCGAUUGAAUGGUCCGGUGAAGCCUCCGGAUUGGCGCGCACCUCGGUGCCGCCGAGAAGUUGGCUAAACCUUACCAUUUAGAGGAAGGUGAAGUCGUAACA